UGAUUAGUCAAGGCAAGGUUAGAGCUGAGCUUUUAACUCAAACUCACAAGGGAAAGUCCUCCCUAGAGGCAGUAUACAAAUCAUCUGGUGGGUGCAGUGGGGUGGAAAGAGCCAAGGAGAAGUUGGGGACCUCUCUUGUGAACAAAACGACAUAAAUAUAUUUUAUGUUUUAAGGAAAUCAAUACAGGUAAAAUCUAUGUUUCCUGAGUGGCAGAAGGGCCAUAUGCAGAUGUUUCCUGCUGUUUCCUCUACUAGACUUCUACUUCUUUAGGACUUUCUCAGGGAAAGCUGCACCUGUGCACAUGACAAGAGCAUGAGCUACACUUUCUUCACUUUGUUUGAGGGCUUCCUUGACAAUGGCACUGAUGUGACUCCAUCCAGCAUCCAUUUCUGUGAGAACUCUAUUUGGCAUAUCAUCACUGUGGGCAUGAACAUAACGGAGACUUUCAUAGGAUGCAAUGGUUAA
Molecule: long non-coding RNA, 466 nt
Filed under: Piliocolobus tephrosceles (Ugandan red Colobus)
Lineage: Eukaryota; Metazoa; Chordata; Mammalia; Primates; Cercopithecidae
Description: lncRNA (ENSPTEG00000028363.1)
Source: RNAcentral